CGCGGCGUUCGUGAUUGUGCGUGAAAAGUUGGGUCUGCUGCUCUUCAUGCCCAUCCCCUACCAGCAGCCCCCUCCUUCCCUGCCCUUAUCCUUACCUCCAUCGGCCUCCCGAGGCUGCAGGAUGAUGAGUGUGGCAAUGAGGAACCAGGCCUCUCCGCCCGCCGGGGCCGAGGUCCAGAGGGGCACGUGGGCCGCCUGCGCAGAGAGGAGGGCCGGGGCCCUUGAGGGCCGCGCCCUUCCCCCCUUCCCUCGGCCCGCGCAGCCUGGCGCUCGAGUAUGACGGCUGUUCCAGGUGAAGAUGGCUGGAUGGCUCAGAUUGCUUUCUGGUGAGUGAGGACCCAAGCCAUGGCAGUGAUUGAAACACAAGCACUUCAGGACAUGGCUGUCACCACAUUUCCUGGCUGUGUCUGGUACUGAAAAAGCUAAGACGUCAGCUUGUUGCUGUCCCUGUGCUUUAAAAUAAGAUGUCAUCAGUGAGCUGUCUUCAUCUGUGAUUGAUGAUCUAUGGAGUUGGGAGAGAAGCUGUGUAGGAAGAAGCUAAAAGACCAGUUUGUGGGGGCCAAGAACAGAGACCAAGUAACAGUAAAUCCCCCUCAGACCACCCCUCCACCCACCCCCCAUGCUCCACCGCCUGCUGCUGGUUCUUGAAACGCCUAUGCUCACCCCUUAUCUGGGGCUGGUCCCCUGUCCACCCUGCCCUGUAGCAUGGAGGACUGUCUUAAUAAACUCUUAAUGUAAUGAA
Long non-coding RNA from Phyllostomus discolor (pale spear-nosed bat), 742 nucleotides. RefSeq lists it as uncharacterized. The transcript is spliced from 5 exons. NCBI's taxonomy places the organism in Eukaryota, Metazoa, Chordata, Mammalia, Chiroptera, Phyllostomidae. The record is from RefSeq and is a predicted model, not a curated record.